AAAUUGAAGAGUUUGAUCAUGGCUCAGAUUGAACGCUGGCGGCAGGCCUAACACAUGCAAGUCGAACGGUAACAGGAAGCAGCUUGCUGCUUUGCUGACGAGUGGCGGACGGGUGAGUAAUGUCUGGGGAACUGCCUGAUGGAGGGGGAUAACUACUGGAAACGGUGGCUAAUACCGCAUAAUGUCGCAAGACCAAAGAGGGGGAUCUUCGGGCCUCUUGCCAUCAGAUGUGCCCAGAUGGGAUUAGCUUGUUGGUGAGGUAACGGCUCACCAAGGCGACGAUCCCUAGCUGGUCUGAGAGGAUGACCAGCCACACUGGAACUGAGACACGGUCCAGACUCCUACGGGAGGCAGCAGUGGGGAAUAUUGCACAAUGGGCGCAAGCCUGAUGCAGCCAUGCCGCGUGUAUGAAGAAGGCCUUCGGGUUGUAAAGUACUUUCAGCGGGGAGGAAGGUGUUGUGGUUAAUAACC
This 471-nucleotide ribosomal RNA is filed under the name Salmonella enterica. RNAcentral describes it as "bacterial SSU rRNA". It matches the Rfam family "Bacterial small subunit ribosomal RNA", at positions 1 to 468 of the family's 1533-position model. The record is from RNAcentral. Lineage: Bacteria; Pseudomonadati; Pseudomonadota; Gammaproteobacteria; Enterobacterales; Enterobacteriaceae.